RNAcentral lists this transfer RNA (65 nucleotides) under Peripolus nepalensis. RNAcentral describes it as "tRNA-His". The record is from RNAcentral. Lineage: Eukaryota; Metazoa; Arthropoda; Insecta; Orthoptera; Acrididae.
GCUUAAGUAUUUUAAUAAAAAUAUUGUUUUGUGGGAUCAAUGAUAUGGUUUAUCCAUCUUAGGCU